Molecule: long non-coding RNA, 3611 nt
Organism: Gallus gallus (chicken)
Lineage: Eukaryota; Metazoa; Chordata; Aves; Galliformes; Phasianidae
Source: Ensembl
CUUGAGAUAAGUCCACACAAAAGACUGUUCCUGGCCAUUUAGCUGCCACUUAUCUCUCUCGUUGCCCUUGGCCUUGUCCAUCUGUUGUCUCUUCUGACAAAGGAUUUCCCAAUCUUUGGUCAGGACUUGCUUGAACUUGUUCAUCUGUGUCCCUCAGCAAGCUUUGAGGCAAUGGCGUAAAAGAAUGAUCUCUUACAUUUUGCAGCCCAGGACACUAUUGGCCUUCUGGGCUGCAAGAGCACACUACUACUGGCUCUUCUUUCUUUUUUUUUUUCUGAUUUUCUCCCCCAUCCAGCUGAGAGGGGAGUGAGUGAGUGGCUGUGUGAUACUCAGCUGCCUACCACAUUAAACCACAGUAGUGUGGAUGCACCAAUUGAUACUUCAUAGGUGCUGGCACCUUCUGGAAAACAGUAUGAAUCUAUCCUUGGUUUUAGAAAGAGAAAGCUUACAUGCCCGUGGGUUAAGGGUUCAUUCUCUUCAGAGGACUGGUUCUAAGCUGAGUUCCUUCGAAUGUCCCUGUUUAGAAUAUUUUGAAGAUCUUAAGAGUCAAAAUCCUAAGUAAUAUGUUAUGAAGUCAGUGCUGACCCACCUCUGAGAAGGAGUUUGGAGAUAGUGUCUGAAGACAUCUUCCAAUCUGAAUAAGGCUAUGGUAUGUAGAAGAGGACAUUGAGCUACUGGUCCUGAGAGACUGUGACAGCUAAUUUCUGGGGAGACAUGAGAUGCUAGAUACGUGCCUCUUUAUACAGCUAUACUUGCUGGAUCACACUGCUCCUACUUCAACUUCAAAGCUUUUAUGGGUUUGAAUCUUGAAUUCAUAAGUCAUCUUUUAAGAUAACGAACUAAUGUUAUUUAUGACAAAAAAUAACUAAAACAGAUAACAUAAAAAUUUUCACAUGAGUAGUUGUUUGGUAACUGUUGAAUCAUGGCCUGAACCACUGAUUGAGCACCUGGGGAAAGGACCCAGGGAGCGCAGAUGAAGGCAAUUCAGCUGUGUGACCGGAAGGGGUGGAGCCUGGCUGCACCUCUCAUAGACCUCAUUUAAGGGCUGACUGCCACUAUGGAAGGAUUUUUGGUUGGAGAUUGCUAUCUUGUGCUAUUUUCCUUGUGAGCCUAGAUCUUCAGAGAUGGUGAAACCGAAGAAUGGAGGGCUUGUUAAUGCAGUCUGCAUCAACUCUAUGGCUAAUUGCUGCUAGAAUUUUUAUGACUGCUUUGUGGUAAAGAUGGUAUCACUGAGACUUAUUUUGGAUGAAUCAUUCAGAUGAGAGAACAAGAAUGUGAAAUGCUUAUGAGGAAAUCGUGAAGGCAAGAAGAUCUUGACUUCCCCAGUCUUAUGGAAAAUGACAGUAGCAUUCCUUAUGUAUAAAUAUGCACAACAACUUUUGCAGUACACGCUAAUUCCAGGAUGCAGUUAAUGUAACUGAGGUUGUGACAUGUCUAGCUCUGGGCAACAGCUUCUUGGAAAGGGCUUUCUUCCAUCGUGUUGAACAGUUUUGACAAGCGCAGACUGAGACAGCAGGCAUCUUGCAAGUGAUACUCAAUAGAAAUCUCCCUGACAUGGAAGAAGCACGUCAGAACUGGGCAGAAUAUGGCAAAAUUUCACUUUUUCAGAUUAGCGAUUCCAGUGCCUUACUGGUAUGUACAAAAUAGCACGACUGGAAAAAUCUUCUUAAUGCAGGCAGGUCUAUGAUACAAAUGACAGUUUUUCUAAUGAAAAAUUAAGGAAGACUCUGAAAGCACAGUCUUACUCUAGUUUUCCUGAGCUGCUCUGGAAUCUGGCCUGUAGUCCUGAUUCAUGUCUUCUGAACAACACAGGGUUGCUUGUUUAAAUACAUAGCCAAAGCAUGCUUCUCAAGUAUCUUUGAAUUUCUGAGAAUUCCUGAAGUUUUUACACUGUGCCUGAGACAGAAAGAAACCAAAUGUCUUGUGACUGUCUCUGUACUGAGGGAAGUAACUUAAACAUUCCCAUUUAUGAUGUCAUAUUGCACCAUCUGCACCAUUUUGUUGUAAAAAGACAAAAUCCUAUGGCAGGGAAUGAGCAGAUUUCAGUCUGCCAAAAGGAGGCUGAAAUUAGGUAGGUCUCUGUCGAGAUGAGUUCAUCAUCAAUGGCUUUAAUGGUGUUCACCUUGAAACAACUCGAGUCCAAUAGGGAAUAAAGACUAAUAAUCAGUCUCCAACGUAAGCCAAGCAUCCUUCCCUGGUGGGGAAGUAAAUAAGUGAGAAGAAAAGAAACUAGUAAAAGUAUUGUUAUAGGGAUUUGGGCCACUGAAGGAAAAAAUGCAUGACAUGUGAGACAAGAAUGAAGCUUAAACAUAUUUUUAACAGUAGAUAAAGGGGGAUUAGCAUAUUUCUUUAAAGGAACUAGAAGACAUAGUGUAUGUAAGGCUGCUCAGAAAGGGUUCAGAAAUAGCAGGAGUAUUAAAUAUUUAACAAAAGGAGCUGGUGCUGUGCAGGCAUCCUGAAAAGUUCUCCUGAGUCCUGAGUGUCUUGCAUACCAAUGCCUGCUGCUGUGUGAACUCAACAUGUAUCUCGCAGGGGCCUCCAUUCACCUUCAUUACUCCAGCAUUCAUCCAGAUGAUGGGUAUAGUUUUGUAGUGAAGAUCUCAAGCAUCAUCCUCCUUUUGAUGGUGUCCAGACCUGGAAAACUACUUGGUAUUAGUGAGCCUGGUUUUGUGUCUAUCUCCACACCAAUCCCCCUUCCACUGCCAAAAGUGCUUCUCUAGUACCAACAGAACAGUACUUCUCCCCUGCCAACUUCAGCUUCUCCCUGAUUUCCUCUUGUACACCUGAAGGAUGAGAAAAUGGUGACAUUUAGAGCAGUGUGUCACACUGUUGUUAUUACUGAGCUAGCAGUGACUAUGGACAUCUUAAAUGUGAAAUCCAAAGAGCCUCUUGUAAUUAAGACUGUAAUUUUUCUGUUUCUGUCUGCUUUCAUCCAGUGAAAAAUAGGUGAAGUCUGCAAAAUAUGCCACCGAAACUUCACCCACUUGUGUUACUGAUCAAGAUAUAUGUACUGUGAGAGUAGUUCUAAAACAACAUUCCUGGUGACAUCAAGGCUACAGAGCAACAGAAGUUGUCUCAGUUGCCAACAGGUAUAAAGUGCAUUAGCCUCAGCCAGCAGAGUCCCUGGCACAGGGAUGUGAGCACGAGCUUGGAAAUGUGUACUUCAGGCAGAAGCACAGAGACAGCUUGUCACCCACUGCUGGCUCCUCGUCAUUCUUCUCUGGCAGGAAGCACCCCCUUAAUCAGUGAACUUUUUCCUCUGAAAGGAGCAAAGUGUAUUAAGCUCCUAGCUAGAGUUUACAUGAGGAGACUGCUAAUAAUGCUGCACACCAUGAGGAGUUCAUCUGCAUGCUCUCCUGCUGCGUCAAAUUUUUACUUCAUUCUCAGUAAACAGAUGUUGUCUGGGACAAGUGUGGCUUGAAAGAUGACACAUAGUGCACUGAUGUUCAUCUGGGUUUGAGGAAAAUGCAUGACCAGUUGAAGUCAUUCCCUAUCUGUGGCUGCCGAUGGUAUCGGAUUCCCCUCACACACAGUCUCUGCUGCGUGAGCAGCCAAAGCCAGACUUCUUCAAGGUACAGGCCAGAUCACGGCUGUGUUGGUUAAUUUCCUAC